UUUCGCAAUGCCCGAAAGGGUGACGAAGCGACGCCGCGUGCGGGAAGAAGGCCUUCGGGUUGUAAACCGCUGUCGGGAGUUAAGAAAUGUAAGGAUGUUAAUAGCAUCUUUGCUUGACUAAGGCUCCGGAGGAAGCCACGGCUAACUCUGUGCCAGCAGCCGCGGUAAUACAGAGGCGGCAAGCGUUGUUCGGAAUUAUUGGGCGUAAAGAGCACGUAGGCGGCUAUGUAAGUCGGUUGUGAAAGCCUUCCGCUCAACGGGAGAACAGCAUCCGAUACUGCAUGGCUUGAGUGCGGGAGGGGAGAGUGGAACUUCUGGUGGAGCGGUGAAAUGCGUAGAUAUCAGAAGGAACGCCGGCGGCGAAAGCGGCUCUCUGGCCCAUAACUGACGCUGAGUGUGCGAAAGCUAGGGGAGCAAACGGGAUUAGAUACCCCGGUAGUCCUGGCCGUAAACGAUGGGCACUAAGUAGAGGGGUUUUA
This 479-nucleotide ribosomal RNA is filed under the name uncultured Planctomycetota bacterium. Its description in RNAcentral is "bacterial SSU rRNA". It matches the Rfam family "Bacterial small subunit ribosomal RNA", at positions 364 to 833 of the family's 1533-position model. Lineage: Bacteria; Pseudomonadati; Planctomycetota. The record is from RNAcentral.